UGGCAAGGCAAAUGCCUCACGAUGGUA
This 27-nucleotide small RNA is filed under the name Bombyx mori (domestic silkworm). Its description in RNAcentral is "ovarian small RNA-34718". Lineage: Eukaryota; Metazoa; Arthropoda; Insecta; Lepidoptera; Bombycidae. The record is from RNAcentral.